Long non-coding RNA from Leopardus geoffroyi (Geoffroy's cat), 3647 nucleotides. RefSeq lists it as uncharacterized. NCBI's taxonomy places the organism in Eukaryota, Metazoa, Chordata, Mammalia, Carnivora, Felidae. The record is from RefSeq and is a predicted model, not a curated record. The transcript has 2 exons.
AUGACCUGAGCCGAAAUCAGACGCUCAACCGACUGAGCCACCCAGGUGCCCCGGAAAAUGCCAUCUUUUGACGUAACAAUAAAGCGUGGGUGUUUUUUGGGAGUUCUGCAUUCUUCCCCGGGGAUCUGUGCUCCUGUCCCUCCAUCAGUACCCCACUGUCUUGAAGAUUGUAGCUGUCAGUAAUCUUUCGUAGCAGGUAGAGUGAGAAUGUCGAGUCUUUCGACCGUGACCUGACUCAGUUUACCGUUCCCGCUAACGGGUCUGAUCUGUCUGAUCUCACGCCUGCCCCUGAGACCAGCUCUUCCUGUGGGAUUUACUUCCGUUCCUUCCUUUUCUGUGAAGCCUUUCUUGGUUCCCGCUGCUUCUUUUGAACCUUAAAGGUGAGGGUUCCUUCUCUCUUGAAUGCCCUGCACUCUGUAUCUUUGUCAUUCACUUGGACUUUCACACGUAAUCCCUUCUCUGUGCUCGCAUUCCCGAGUAGCGCUCUCGCCUUCUUCGUGUGGUGGAUUCCAGGUACCAGACGCCCAGGGUCCGGGAUGCAGUAGGUCCUUGGCGAAUGAUUCGUUGUCGGAGAGAAAGACUAAACCAGACUCCACUCCUACUUCGGGAAGGCAUACGUGCGCGGUCGUAAGGGGGCAAAAGUACGCACGUGUCCUUUCGUUGCCGGUUUGCCAGAGGUCCCUGACACCACAUUGGUGCAAAGCGAAGUCUUCCCGGAUCGACAAGCUGAUCCAGGCUCUCUCUGUGUGUUUCAGGUUGGUUUAUUUAUUUUGAGACCCCGAGAGAGGGUACGAGCCCGGGAGGAGCGGAGAGAGAAUCGCAAGCCGGCCCCUCGCUGUCGGCGCGGGGCUUGAACCCCGGACCGUGAGAUCGUGACCUGAGCCGAAAUCAAGAGCGGGACGCUUCACCGACUGAGCCGCCCAGAUGCCUCUCGGGGCUCUGGGCUUAAGCAGGACCUGGAGUGGUUGUAAUAAUUAUUGGUAGCACCCAGCUGCAUAACAAAUGACCCCCAAAUCCCCGUGGCUUACCACAAACCCUGAUGCCUCACCCUUGGAUGCUUGUGGCUUCUCGGCUGCAGCCUAGGGGUUGGAUUGAGGUCAGCUCCAUGCAUCUCUCAUUCCAGAGUCCCACGCGAAGCUGCAGCAGCUACCUGGAGGCACGUUCUUCUCCUGGCGACGGCAGGGGUUCAGGAGGCCAGGCCCAAACGAGGAAGCGCGUUUGAAAACCUCCGACUGGAUCCUGUUGACUUCGGUUCCAUCGACCAAAGUUCUCCUCACUGCUCCUCCUGGGAACAGAGUCUGGGGGGAGCCAGUGUGUUCCAGAAGAGUCAGCACAGUCCGAGGGAGAGAUCGGCCCUCUGGCAGCAGCCAGCCGAUGAGAACCAAUUAUACACAUCUCUUCCCAACUCUGCAGCGGGUGAUGUCGAGAGCUUGAAAUCUGACCACACUGGGAGUAUUUACACCACAGGAAUCGGCGAGCGCUACAGACGGGCCUUCCCCACCCCGGGAGAGCCAGUUGUUAAAUAUUUACCAGCACAUCGCUGCUGCUGAGGGACAGGUCUGUGCCAUCAGAACCUUAGAAGUGCCUUUCUCGAGAUUUCUUGGAAAUCUCCUCCCUGCCAGGGAGGGAGGGAAGUGACCGAAUCUGUAAGAGGCCGGCCCUAUCUAGCGCUUUCUAUUGAGCACAUGAUUGUCAUUCAUCACCUGAAAAGGUUAUAAAUCUCCCCGGUGUUGAACAGCUCCAGAAUGAAUGAAAUGGAAUUAAAUGUGCAGGCACGCACAAGCUCACGCCUGGCACGGAGCCCAACACGGGGCUUGAACUCACAACCCGGAGAUCAAGACCUGAGCUGAGAUCAGGAGUCGGACGCUUAACCGACUGAGCCGCCCAGGUGCCCGUCCUUCUGUAUUUUCAUUCAGCAGAUCUCUUUCGAGCGCCCGACUUGCGCGGGGCACCGUGCCCCCAUGACUCCCUAGGUCCCAGCGCGGGCAGCCUUGCCCAGUUGUGGCUUCUGGUCUCACCUAUGUGAUCUGCGACCUGAGGGCAGGAUUUGGGUCGUCUACUCCCCGAUCCCCUGCCCUACCUUCAAAAAGCCCGUCAUUAAUUCUUGCGGGAGCUGCCACCCCUCCCCCCCCCCCCCCCCAUCCUUUGGCAUGGUGUUGGCAAUCUCUUAAGGAGAAAAGAAUAAUUUCGUCUCCUGUCACGUAGCAAAAUCAAAGCUUUUGGCAAGCACGAAGCCUGGGAGGCCUUUACCGCCACACAUAUAAUUAGAACUUUGGGCUAAACCCAUCCCAGAGGAGCAAAACAUUACAUUUUAAGGCACAUGCUUUUGGAUUUAUUUAUUUAAAAAAAAAAAAAAAAUUUUUUUUUUUUUUUUUUCCGAAAAAGCCGUUCGUUCCCUUCCUUCCCUCGGAUGACAUCACGCCUGAACACAGCACACGGCUCUCCAUCACUUUAAAGGGGGAGCGCUUUGCAUGCCGUCUUUCCCUUCAAACCCUUACGAACCAGACCUUCCCUGGGAGCCCCGGGAUGGGCAUUUUCCUUCAGGUACAAGGAUCAUUACAAGGCAAGCAUUCUUAAACCGGGUCUGCUCCCAACACAGCAUUUCCACAUAUGGAUAUUAAUUUAUGUGAUCACUUGAAUACAAACGCUCGGCUGUCUCCAUAAGUUAUAGAAGCAAUCAUCCCAGGGAGCAUCGGAGACACCGAGAGUCAAUUCCUGUGUAAUAAUUUCAUAUUCGAGCCAGGGAUGCCAAAUCACGGCCCCUUUGGAUAAAAUGUGAGCCUGUGGAAACACUCCCCUCCCCCUUUUUAUUAUUGUGCAUUUUAUUUCUCCAUAAAAUACGUUUAUGCCCUGGAAAAACAAACCAACCCAGGGGGCCAGGCUGACAGCGUGAUGCAGGGGGUGCUCUGCCGGGAAGCUUCUGACUCAGCCACUAGCAAGCGCGGGCGAUGAGGGAGUGUGUCCGUGAGCUGCUGAGAAAGCCCUCCUGGGGCCAAACCUUGAGGGGGCAGGCAGCCAAAGAUCGCCAAGCCUUGGAACAGAAAAUCACCGAGCCUUGGAAUGGAAGAAGGUCAUCUGGCCCCGCUUCCCAUCUUGGUGGGAAGCCUCUUUUUCCUUUUUUUUUUUUUUUUUUUUUUUUAUACAGCUUUAUUGAGAUAUAAUUCACAUACCAUAUAAUCCACCCACUUAACGUGUACAUUUCAGUGAGUUUUAGUGCAUUCCCACAGAAAUGCAACCGUCACCACUUUUUAUCAUCCCCAAAAGAAACCCCAUCCUCAUUAGCAGUCGCUCCCCAUUUCCCCGCAACCCCUCCGCAGCCUUGGGCAACGACUCAUCUACUUUCUGUUUCUGUAGGUUUGCCUGUCGUGCAGAUUUCGUAUAAACGAAACCACGCAGCAUGCGUCUUUCGUGACUGGCUUCCUCCACUUAGCGUGAUGUUUCUGUUUUUCAUUGCUCUUGGGUAUGUACCUAGGAGCAGAAUUGUUGGGUCCUACGAUGACUCUGUGUUUAGCUUUAUUGAGAAACAGCCAGACAAGUUGCCGCAGUGGUUGCCCCAUUUUGUAGCCUCACCAGCGGUGUAUGUGACUUCUGUUCCCCCCACGUUUUUUGAUUUGAGAAAUUGUGGUCAAAUACAUGUAACAUAAAAC